UAAGGCAGCCACAGCCUAAAGUUGCAAGGCGAGCGGACGGGAAGAGCUUGCUCUUCGAUUCAGCGGCGGACGGGUGAGUAAUGCCUAGGAAUCUGCCUGGUAGUGGGGGACAACGUUUCGAAAGGAACGCUAAUACCGCAUACGUCCUACGGGAGAAAGCAGGGGACCUUCGGGCCUUGCGCUAUCAGAUGAGCCUAGGUCGGAUUAGCUAGUUGGUGAGGUAAUGGCUCACCAAGGCGACGAUCCGUAACUGGUCUGAGAGGAUGAUCAGUCACACUGGAACUGAGACACGGUCCAGACUCCUACGGGAGGCAGCAGUGGGGAAUAUUGGACAAUGGGCGAAAGCCUGAUCCAGCCAUGCCGCGUGUGUGAAGAAGGUCUUCGGAUUGUAAAGCACUUUAAGUUGGGAGGAAGGGCAGUAAGAUAAUACCUUGCUGUUUUGACGUUACCGACAGAAUAAGCACCGGCUAACUCUGUGCCAGCAGCCGCGGUAAUACAGAGGGUGCAAGCGUUAAUCGGAAUUACUGGGCGUAAAGCGCGCGUAGGUGGUUUGUUAAGUUGGAUGUGAAAGCCCCGGGCUCAACCUGGGAACUGCAUCCAAAACUGGCAAGCUAGAGUACGGUAGAGGGUGGUGGAAUUUCCUGUGUAGCGGUGAAAUGCGUAGAUAUAGGAAGGAACACCAGUGGCGAAGGCGACCACCUGGACUGAUACUGACACUGAGGUGCGAAGU
Molecule: ribosomal RNA, 730 nt
Filed under: Pseudomonas putida
Lineage: Bacteria; Pseudomonadati; Pseudomonadota; Gammaproteobacteria; Pseudomonadales; Pseudomonadaceae
Description: bacterial SSU rRNA
Rfam family: Bacterial small subunit ribosomal RNA
Source: RNAcentral